CCUACGGGAGGCAGCAGUGGGGAAUAUUGCACAAUGGGGGAAACCCUGAUGCAGCAACGCCGCGUGAGUGAUGACGGUCUUCGGAUUGUAAAACUCUGUCUUUGGGGACGAUAAUGACGGUACCCAAGGAGGAAGCCACGGCUAACUACGUGCCAGCAGCCGCGGUAAUACGUAGGUGGCAAGCGUUGUCCGGAAUUAUUGGGCGUAAAGCGCGCGCAGGUGGUUCUUUAAGUCUGAUGUGAAAGCCCACGGCUCAACCGUGGAGGGUCAUUGGAAACUGGGGAACUUGAGUGCAGAAGAGGAAAGUGGAAUUCCAAGUGUAGCGGUGAAAUGCGUAGGGAUUUGGAGGAACACCAGUGGCGAAGGCGACUUUCUGGUCUGUAACUGACACUGAGGCGCGAAAGCGUGGGGAGCAAACAGGAUUAGAUACCCUGGUAGUCCACGCCGUAAACGAUGAGUGCUAAGUGUUAGAGGGUUUCCGCCCUUUAGUGCUGCAGCUAACGCAUUAAGCACUCCGCCUGGGGAGUACGGCCGCAAGGCUGAAACUUAAAGGAAUUGACG
This 561-nucleotide ribosomal RNA is filed under the name uncultured bacterium. RNAcentral's name for it is "bacterial SSU rRNA". It matches the Rfam family "Bacterial small subunit ribosomal RNA", at positions 338 to 915 of the family's 1533-position model. The record is from RNAcentral.